Molecule: ribosomal RNA, 369 nt
Filed under: uncultured bacterium
Lineage: Bacteria
Description: bacterial SSU rRNA
Rfam family: Bacterial small subunit ribosomal RNA
Source: RNAcentral
ACGGAGGGUGCAAGCGUUAUCCGGAUUCACUGGGUUUAAAGGGUGCGUAGGCGGGCAGGUAAGUCAGUGGUGAAAUCUCCGAGCUUAACUCGGAAACUGCCGUUGAUACUAUUUGUCUUGAAUAUUGUGGAGGUAAGCGGAAUAUGUCAUGUAGCGGUGAAAUGCUUAGAUAUGACAUAGAACACCAAUUGCGAAGGCAGCUUACUACACAAUUAUUGACGCUGAGGCACGAAAGCGUGGGGAUCAAACAGGAUUAGAUACCCUGGUAGUCCACGCCCUAAACGAUGAUUACUCGACAUACGCGAUACACUGUGUGUGUCUGAGCGAAAGCAUUAAGUAAUCCACCUGGGAAGUACGUUCGCAAGAAUG